GUUCAGAACGUCGUGAGACAGUUCGGUCCCUAUCCAUCGCGGGCGUAAGAAACUUGAAAGGGGCUGCUCCUAGUACGAGAGGACCGGAGUGGACCGACCAAUGGUGUACCAGUCAUGGCGCCAGCCGUGCAGCUGGGUAGCUACGUCGGGGACGGAUAAACGCUGAAAGCAUCUAAGCGUGAAACCAGCCUAGAGAUGAGGUUUCUCAUUGUUUAACAAGUAAGGUCCCACAAAGACGAUGUGGUUGAUAGGCCGGGAGUGGAAGUACAGCGAUGUACGGAGCGGACCGGUACUAAUAGACCGAGGACUUGACUUA
This 316-nucleotide ribosomal RNA is filed under the name human gut metagenome. Its description in RNAcentral is "bacterial LSU rRNA". It matches the Rfam family "Bacterial large subunit ribosomal RNA", at positions 2609 to 2925 of the family's 2925-position model. The record is from RNAcentral.